RNAcentral lists this long non-coding RNA (299 nucleotides) under Phoenix dactylifera (date palm). Its description in RNAcentral is "long non-coding RNA (PDAC_LNC009780)". Lineage: Eukaryota; Viridiplantae; Streptophyta; Magnoliopsida; Arecales; Arecaceae. The record is from RNAcentral.
AAAUCUAAGACAAAGAAUCUGACAUAAGAUGAGUGUAGGUGGGUAAACACUAAGGGCAUUGGACGUGAAUCUAUGUCGAUUGCAUUGUAAGCUACUUUCAAGAUUUUCUAUUAAGCCUUGUGAUUGAUUAUGUAUGAGAAGGUUACUAGGAAAUUAUGAUUGAAUUUACUUAUGAGGUUUGAUACAUUAUGGAAGGUUGGGCAAUCUAUGAAUCAAGUUAUAAUUAGUUAGAUUUGGAUCUAAAUUAAGUGCAAAAGGAUUGGCCAUGGAAUAUUAUCAUGCAUUGUGAUUAUUUAUUA